RNAcentral lists this long non-coding RNA (2953 nucleotides) under Homo sapiens (human). Its description in RNAcentral is "PREDICTED lncRNA (TCONS_00206393)". The record is from RNAcentral. Lineage: Eukaryota; Metazoa; Chordata; Mammalia; Primates; Hominidae.
CUUUAACUCAGUGUUUCAACCUCUGCAUCGUGACUAGAUGACAUGUGAGUGGAGAUACUGACCGCCCCCUGCCCCGCCUUCAUCCCUAGGCUGGUCAUCUGGCUGUGAACCGCUGUGAUUUUUAAAUCUGCCAGUGACUUAGACAAUAACAAAAGGUUGCAUCCAGACUAACUUGGCCCAUGUUAAGAACCCUGGGAGCUCAGCCCACAGAUCUCAAGAUGAGAGUGCAGUGCGCUAUCAAUUUCUACAAUCUCAAAAACAGUGAAAAACAAAACCCCUAUUGCUCCUUGGCUACUUUAUUCUUAUCUGCUGGGUGAUAGCUGAUAGUAAGGUGUUGAGAGCACCCAGAAGAGAAGGAACAGCCCAGCUGUCCAUGGUGGGAGAGGAACAAAGACACCUGCCUUCUCACGAGGUAUUUAGUUUCAUUGCAACACUACUCAGUCUUUUAACUUUUAUUUUCUCUGCCUCCCCUGCCUGAUGAAGAAAGGAGACAGCCUCAGAGCUAUGCCUCCAGACGCAUCAUUCCUCUUGCAACACUGACUGUUUUCACAGCAAGAUGGGCCCUUUAGCUCUCCUCAUGAAAUGUGAGGCUGUGUGCCCUCUCUGCCUUCCUCUGACUACAGAGGACCACUGGAAUGUAUUUAUGGAGUUGGAAGAGUCAGAAUGCGUUUGCCUAUGAAAAUUUUUUUUGGAACUGAAACAAAACAAAACAAAAAAGCCCAACCAACUUUGAACUUGUUUUCACUAGCCCAGCCGAUGUGCCACUAUAAGCCUUCAAGGGCCUUACCCCAGCAAGGCCUCUGCUUUGGUGCUCUCCAUGACGCAAUCUGUCUCUCUGCAGACACAACUCUAAGGUGUCUCCAGAGCCAAAGUCAGGUGAAGAAAUGGGGUUAUUGUGUGGAUUAUUUUAGGUCAGAAUACAGGCCAAAAAAACAAAACUGGUUCUGUUUGAAAUUGCCUGGCUGCCCUCAUUUUGUCACUUGACUUUACAUGGAGAGAUACUGCUCCAGGAAUUACCCAAAUGACAAAAUAAACAAACAAACAAAUAAAACCGUACAUUCUGCACCAAGAAUAAAUAACGCAAAGUGGAGACUGAGCUUAUUAAUUUUUUCAAAGCCUUCCUUACCUGAAUAUGUUAAUGUGAAUUAAUGUGCUGGACUGGCCCAGAGGAAAAUAAAGUCCUUCUGUAGUUUAUCUUCUAUACCUAAAUUGGCAGAUCUAUGGAAUUCAUGUUUGCAUUACAUGUAAAGUUUUUACAGUUCUUACACCUGGAUAAGGAUCUUUUGACUGGAAAGGUCAAUAUAUUUCAAGGGCUUUGGCUCUGAGAAAGAACGGCUUGGUGGAUUCCAGGUACCAAAUCAUCUGUAAAAUCACAUGCCAAAUCCCAAAAGCUUACUGUCUCCAGGACCACAAACCAAUCAAUUUGGGAGGAAAUUGGCUCAAAUAACAUCAACACCCGUAAUGCCAAUGGCCAAACUCUAGAUGGUGAAUGUGAAAUCUUAAGUGGAAUCUGCUCCCAGGCCAAGACAAUACAACCAAAUCAUCUGGAUGCAAGUCAAGCUAUGAGAUGGAGACAUUAAAGCCCAGAUAAGACGUGCUGAAUAAUAGAAAGAACAUGAAUUUAUUGGCAGAAAGACCUGAGUUCAAAUGUGGGUGUCAGUAACUCUGCGGCUUUGGACAAAUUAUUAAACCUCAUUAAAUCUCUGUUUUCUCAUCUGGAGAUUGAGACCAGUAGUACCAACUUUCCAGGGCUGAUAUAGAGCCGAAAUUAAAAUGUCUGUGAAGUGCCUAACACAAUGGCUGGCAUCUUAUUAGAUUUAAUAAAUGUGAGUUCCCUCUUCCCUUGCCCACUAUAUGGCAGAGAUGUAAUUCAAAAGCAGGGAGGUGGGCCUCCAAACCCAAGUUCUUGGCACAUCUGUAAUGAGAACUUGUCUGAGCUGCUCCUCCACCACUGUGGUGAUACAAUCAGAUUGGCUGAACUUGAAUGAUUCUUUCCUUUAUACUGGCAAACCACUCUCUAUUAUUUUAUGUAUUUAGCCCAGAUGUAAAUCUUGUACAAGUCAAAAUCAAAAUAUAUAAAUCAUGCAUCUCCCAGUGCAUUCUAAUGUGCCUGCAGUACAGCCUGAUCAUAAAAAUAUCAGUCAUAGACCUACUCAGAAAAAAGGUUUAACAUUGGCAAAAGAUUAUAGAGUAAAUACUGGGCUUCAGGUUCUAGGGAAUUUGCGAAAAGCCAAUAAGACAUAGGGAACACCAAUAGCCUUUCUUGUGCUAAAUCUCUCUCACAGUCCCCCUGUUUUGAAUCAGGCCAUGUCUUCCCCUGGGAAGAAAAGAAAUGCAAGUUCACAAAAAAUGUUCUUGUGAAAAGUUGUAAGCUGCAUUUACAACUGGGGAAGAUUUCAGUCUCAGUUGUUUUCUUGCUGGUCAUAGAUAUAUUUGUCCUUUGCUUGCUAUGGAGAAAGAUUCUGAACUUUCAGAAAAAACUUCCAAGUCUAGACUCCAAAGAAUAUAGUUUAUCUUACUAUGGCAUUUAUUUUGCAGACAGUUCCCUCUCCAACACAUGAGUCUAUACAAAUGGUCUCACCUGGCAACAUAUUUCCCAGCCCAUGCACCCCUCCCCUAUCCCUGAUGCCCUAAGGACACUGCAGAGACAGCUGUGGGUACAAUGAAAAAGUGCAAACUUGGAGUAAUGAGAUCAGCAUCGAGUUCUAACUCUGCACUUUUCUCUCUGACUUUGUACAUGUCACCUCAAUUCUAUGAGUUUUGACUUUUGUCAUCUCUAUAAUGGGGACAUUAGCUGACUACCAGGUGUUCCACCUGAAAGCUCUGUAAAAGAAAGCACAUUGUGUUAUAUAAAUUUUUAAAAUUAGAAUUUAGAGAGCAGAAACUGAAGAACUGUAUGUUCAGCUGGUAUUUUCCAUUUUUAAAUUAAAAUUCAUACUUGCUACUAGUCUGA